Molecule: ribosomal RNA, 1437 nt
Filed under: uncultured organism
Description: SSU rRNA
Rfam family: Bacterial small subunit ribosomal RNA
Source: RNAcentral
AUGAUGAACGCUAGCUACAGGCUUAACACAUGCAAGUCGAGGGGUAGCAUGGUCUUAGCUUGCUAAGGCCGAUGGCGACCGGCGCACGGGUGAGUAACACGUAUCCAACCUGCCGUCUACUCUUGGACAGCCUUCUGAGAGGAAGAUUAAUACAAGAUGGCAUCAUGAGUCCGCAUGUUCACAUGAUUAAAGGUAUUCCGGUAGACGAUGGGGAUGCGUUCCAUUAGAUAGUAGGCGGGGUAACGGCCCACCUAGUCUUCGAUGGAUAGGGGUUCUGAGAGGAAGGUCCCCCACAUUGGAACUGAGACACGGUCCAAACUCCUACGGGAGGCAGCAGUGAGGAAUAUUGGUCAAUGGGCGAGAGCCUGAACCAGCCAAGUAGCGUGAAGGAUGACUGCCCUAUGGGUUGUAAACUUCUUUUAUAAAGGAAUAAAGUCGGGUAUGGAUACCCGUUUGCAUGUACUUUAUGAAUAAGGAUCGGCUAACUCCGUGCCAGCAGCCGCGGUAAUACGGAGGAUCCGAGCGUUAUCCGGAUUUAUUGGGUUUAAAGGGAGCGUAGAUGGAUGUUUAAGUCAGUUGUGAAAGUUUGCGGCUCAACCGUAAAAUUGCAGUUGAUACUGGAUAUCUUGAGUGCAGUUGAGGCAGGCGGAAUUCGUGGUGUAGCGGUGAAAUGCUUAGAUAUCACGAAGAACUCCGAUUGCGAAGGCAGCCUGCUAAGCUGCAACUGACAUUGAGGCUCGAAAGUGUGGGUAUCAAACAGGAUUAGAUACCCUGGUAGUCCACACGGUAAACGAUGAAUACUCGCUGUUUGCGAUAUACAGCAAGCGGCCAAGCGAAAGCGUUAAGUAUUCCACCUGGGGAGUACGCCGGCAACGGUGAAACUCAAAGGAAUUGACGGGGGCCCGCACAAGCGGAGGAACAUGUGGUUUAAUUCGAUGAUACGCGAGGAACCUUACCCGGGCUUAAAUUGCAGAUGAAUUACGGUGAAAGCCGUAAGCCGCAAGGCAUCUGUGAAGGUGCUGCAUGGUUGUCGUCAGCUCGUGCCGUGAGGUGUCGGCUUAAGUGCCAUAACGAGCGCAACCCUUGUCGUCAGUUACUAACAGGUUCCGCUGAGGACUCUGACAAGACUACCAUCGUAAGAUGUGAGGAAGGUGGGGAUGACGUCAAAUCAGCACGGCCCUUACGUCCGGGGCUACACACGUGUUACAAUGGGGGGUACAGAGGGCCGCUACCACGCGAGUGGAUGCCAAUCCCCAAAACCUCUCUCAGUUCGGACUGGAGUCUGCAACCCGACUCCACGAAGCUGGAUUCGCUAGUAAUCGCGCAUCAGCCACGGCGCGGUGAAUACGUUCCCGGGCCUUGUACACACCGCCCGUCAAGCCAUGGGAGCCGGGGGUACCUGAAGUGCGUAACCGCGAGGAGCGCCCUAGGGUAAAA